GUGCUCACUUUGGCAGUACAUAUACUAAAGUAGCAGGUACUUUACAGAGAUUAGCAUGGCUCCUGAACAAGGAAGACACACGAAUUCAUGAAGUGUUUCACAUUCUC
This is a small nuclear RNA of Dromiciops gliroides (monito del monte), 107 nucleotides long. NCBI's taxonomy places the organism in Eukaryota, Metazoa, Chordata, Mammalia, Microbiotheria, Microbiotheriidae. The record is from RefSeq and is a predicted model, not a curated record.